RNAcentral lists this ribosomal RNA (253 nucleotides) under uncultured bacterium. Its description in RNAcentral is "partial 16S ribosomal RNA". It matches the Rfam family "Bacterial small subunit ribosomal RNA", at positions 524 to 776 of the family's 1533-position model. The record is from RNAcentral.
UACGUAGGGGGCUAGCGUUGUCCGGAAUCAUUGGGCGUAAAGCGCGCGUAGGCGGACCUGCAAGUCGGGGGUGAAAGCCCGAGGCUCAACCUCGGAACUGCCUUCGAUACUGCGGGUCUCGAGUCCGGGAGAGGUGAGUGGAAUUCCUAGUGUAGAGGUGAAAUUCGUAGAUAUUAGGAAGAACACCAGUGGCGAAGGCGGCUCGCUGGCCCGGUACUGACGCUGAGGCGCGAAAGCGUGGGGAGCAAACAGG